CGCCCGCGCCUCGUGCAGGCCCCGCCCGCUCGCCGCACGGCGGCCGCCACCGCCGGUGCUGGUGCCUGUCCCUGUCCCUCCGCCAGUCCCUGCUUGCUUGUGCCGAACGGUCGCGAUGGUGUUCCGGUGCCAGCGGGACAGCUGGGCCCGGCAGUUCACCACCAGGGUGGUGUCGUGCCGGGCGGCCGAGCUGCGGCCCGAGGGUGGCGGGGAGCCGGUGCGCGGCUUCCAGGUGGUGCUGGAGGACACCAUCCUCUUCCCCGAGGGCGGCGGGCAGCCGGACGAUCGCGGCCUCAUCGGGGACGUGCCGGUGCUGCGCGUGACACGGCGGGGCCCCGAGGCCGUGCAUUUCGUGCCGGCCGCGCUGGAACCGGGCGCUGAAGUGCUGCUGUCGCUGGACUGGGAGCGCCGCUUCGACCACAUGCAGCAGCAUUCAGGACAGCAUCUCAUCAGUGCUGUUGCAGAACAGAUGUUUGGAUUCAAGACGACUUCAUGGGAGCUGGGCCGUCAGCGCAGUGUCAUUGAGCUGGACACCCCCUCGGUGACAGCAGAGCAGGUGCAGGCCCUGGAGGAGAGCGUGAACGAGAAAAUCCGGGACAGGGUCCCUGUAACAGUGAGGGAACUGGCUGCAGAUGACCCUGAAGUUGAAACAGUGAGGAGCCGGGGGCUGCCCGAUGACCACGCGGGGCCAGUGCGAGUGGUGGACAUCAAAGGCAUCGACUCCAACCUGUGCUGUGGGACUCACGUCUCCAACCUGAGUGACCUCCAGGUUAUUAAACUCCUUGGUGUGGAAAAAGGGAAAAAGAACAAAACCAACUUGGUUUUCUUGGUGGGAAACAGAGUGCUGAAGUCAAUCGAACAAAGUCACAGUACUGAGAAGGCUCUAACCUCCCUGCUCAAAAAUGGACCAGGUGAGCACAUAGAGGCUGUGAAGAGACUGCAGAGCUCUGUCAAGCUGCUCCAGAAGAAUAACCUGAACCUGCUUAGAGACAUUGCUGUUUUGAUAGCCCGGGACUUCAAGAGCAAACCUGCUCCAAAGCAGCUGUUUGUAUUGCACAGGAAAGAGGGUGAUUCUGAAUUUAUGAACAUCAUUGCUAAUGAGAUUGGGACAGAGUGUCUGUCAUCUUCUUGGAUGAGGAGAGCACUGAUUUAUCUGGAGCAAGGCCCAUCUCUGUCCACAGGAAACCCUGCUAUUCCUGACUGUGGGAGAUGAAAAAGAAGCAGGACUCUUCCUUCUAGCUGGACCUGUUGAAGCAGUUGAAAAUUUAGGUCCCAGGGUGGCAGAACUGCUGGGUGGGAAAGGAGCUGGGAAGCGCGGCCGCUUCCAGGGCAAGGCAGCCAAGAUGAGCCGGCGAGGAGAAGUGCAAGCUCUGCUCCAGGAAUUCAUUAGCCAUCAAAACCCAGGAGCAUAAGAAACAAUUCUCUAAGUAGAAUUUGGUUUGUCUUAUAUUUGUUUGCAUAGGCUCCACUAGCUUCUCUACCAGAGAAUAAAGACCUGAACCCAA
This is an RNA transcript of Haemorhous mexicanus (house finch), 1505 nucleotides long. It is a transcript of the gene named alanyl-tRNA synthetase domain containing 1, with no coding region annotated. The transcript has 12 exons. The record is from RefSeq and is a predicted model, not a curated record. NCBI's taxonomy places the organism in Eukaryota, Metazoa, Chordata, Aves, Passeriformes, Fringillidae.